UCAAGCGACUAAGUGCAUGUGGUGGAUGCCUUGGCGAUCACAGGCGAUGAAGGACGCGGCAGUCUGCGAAAAGCCCCGGGGAGCUGACAACGAGCUUUGAUCCGGGGAUCUCCGAAUGAGGGAACUCCAAGCUUUAGCUUGAUCCAUGCGUGAAUACAUAGCGCAUGGAGGCGAACGCGGCGAACUGAAACAUCUCAGUAGCUGCAGGAAAAGAAAUCAACCGAGAUUCCGGAAGUAGCGGCGAGCGAAACCGGAACAGCCUGAAUUCGAUAUUGAGAAGAACACUGGAAGAGUCUGGAAAGGCUCGCCAUAGUGGGUGAUAGCCCCGUACGGGACGUUCAUCUCAAGGUACUGAGGAUUCGAAAAGUAGGUCGGGGCACGUGAAACCCUGGCUGAACAUGGGGGGACCAUCCUCCAAGGCUAAAUACUCGUGAUCGACCGAUAGCGUACUAGUACUGUGAAGGAAAGGUUAAAAGAACCCCGGGAGGGGAGUGAAAUAGAUUCUGAAACCGCAUGCAUACAAACAGUAGGAGCCCUUCGGGGUGACUGCGUACCUUUUGCAUAAUGGGUCAGCGACUUAUGUUAUGUGGCAAGCCUAACCGACUAGGGGAGGCGCAGCGAAAGCGAGUCCGAACAGGGCGAUUCAGUCGCAUGGCAUAGACCCGAAACCAGAUGAGCUAACCAUGGCCAGGCUGAAGGUGUGGUAACACACACUGGAGGGCCGAACCUACUGGUGUUGCAAAACCAGAGGAUGAGCUGUGGUUAGGGGUGAAAGGCUUAACAAAUCUGGAGAUAGCUGGUUCUCCCCGAAAACUAUUGAGGUAGUGCCUUGCGCAUGAGCUUCUGGGGGUAGAGCACUGUUAUAGCUAGGGGGACAUGGCGUCUUACCAAACUAUGGCAAACUCCGAAUACCAGAAAGCUUCGCGCAGGAGACAGAGCACCGGGUGCUAACGUCCGGACUCAAAAGGGAAUCAACCCAGACCGCCAGCUAAGGUCCCUAAUAUCAGCUAAGUGGAAAACGAAGUGGAAAGGCUAAAACAGUCAGGAAGUUGGCUUAGAAGCAGCCAUCCUUCAAAGAAAGCGUAAUAGCUCACUGAUCGAGUCCUUCCGCGCGGAAGAUGUAACGGGGCUAAGUUGAUAACCGAAGCUGCGGAUUCACACUUUGAGUGUGAGUGGUAGGGGAGCGUUCUGUAAGCCUGUGAAGGUGGAUCGUAAGGUCUGCUGGAGGUAUCAGAAGUGCGAAUGCUGACAUGAGUAACGAUAAAGCGGGUGAAAAGCCCGCUCGCCGCAAACCCAAGGUUUCCUGCUCUACGUUAAUCGGAGCAGGGUGAGUCGGUUCCUAAGGCCAGGCUGAGAAGCGUAGCUGAUGGAAAUCAGGUUAAUAUUCCUGAACCGGCGUUGAAUGCGAUGGGGUGACGGAGCAGCCAGAGUGGACCGGGUGUUGGAUGUCCCGGCUUCCGAGCGAUGGGUGCCUGCAGGCAAAUCCGCAGGCGUAUACCCAGGACGAAGGAUCGGGCCUUCUUUUGAAGGCGAAGCCACUGGAAGCGCUUCCAGGAAAAACCUCUAAGCUUCAGUUCAACGGCGACCGUACCGUAAACCGACACAGGUGGGUGAGCUGAAUAUGCUCAGGCGCUUGAGAGAACUCGGGAGAAGGAACUCGGCAAAUUGACACCGUAACUUCGGAAGAAGGUGUGCCUUUGUAGCUUGACGGGAGAGAAACCCGGAGGGCGAAGAGGUCUCAGAGAAUCGGUGGCUGUAACUGUUUACUAAAAACACAGCGCUCUGCAAAGAUGAAAGUCGACGUAUAGGGCGUGAUGCCUGCCCGGUGCUGGAAGAUUAAUUGAUGGGGUGCAAGCUCCUGAUCGAAGUCCCAGUAAACGGCGGCCGUAACUAUAACGGUCCUAAGGUAGCGAAAUUCCUUGUC
RNAcentral lists this ribosomal RNA (1924 nucleotides) under metagenome. RNAcentral's name for it is "bacterial LSU rRNA". It matches the Rfam family "Bacterial large subunit ribosomal RNA", at positions 3 to 1973 of the family's 2925-position model. The record is from RNAcentral.